RNAcentral lists this ribosomal RNA (253 nucleotides) under uncultured prokaryote. Its description in RNAcentral is "partial 16S ribosomal RNA". It matches the Rfam family "Bacterial small subunit ribosomal RNA", at positions 524 to 776 of the family's 1533-position model. The record is from RNAcentral.
UACGUAGGGUGCGAGCGUUGUCCGGAAUUACUGGGCGUAAAGAGCUCGUAGGUGGUUUGUCGCGUUGUUCGUGAAAACUCACAGCUUAACUGUGGGCGUGCGGGCGAUACGGGCAGACUGGAGUACUGCAGGGGAGACUGGAAUUCCUGGUGUAGCGGUGGAAUGCGCAGAUAUCAGGAGGAACACCGAUGGCGAAGGCAGGUCUCUGGGCUGACACUGACGCUCAUGCACGAAAGCGUGGGGAGCAAACAGG